CAGUCGCCACGGUAAUACGUAGGUGGCAAGCGUUGUCCGGAAUUAUUGGGCGUAAAGGGCUCGCAGGCGGUUUCUUAAGUCUGAUGUGAAAGCCCCCGGCUCAACCGGGGAGGGUCAUUGGAAACUGGGAAACUUGAGUGCAGAAGAGGAGAGUGGAAUUCCACGUGUAGCGGUGAAAUGCGUAGAGAUGUGGAGGAACACCAGUGGCGAAGGCGACUCUCUGGUCUGUAACUGACGCUGAGGAGCGAAAGCAUGGGGAGCGAACAGGAUUAGAUACCCCCGUAGUCCCUGUCUCUUAUAC
This 301-nucleotide ribosomal RNA is filed under the name uncultured bacterium. Its description in RNAcentral is "partial 16S ribosomal RNA". It matches the Rfam family "Bacterial small subunit ribosomal RNA", at positions 509 to 807 of the family's 1533-position model. The record is from RNAcentral.